GAUGAACGCUGGCGGCGUGCCUAAUACAUGCAAGUCGAACGCAUUGUGGUUGAAAUGAUAUGAAGAACUUGUUCAGAUUUGAUUUUCAACAUUGCAAUGAGUGGCGAACGGGUGGGUAACACGUGGGAAACCUACCUCUUAGCAGGGGAUAACAUUUGGAAACAAAUGCUAAUACCGUAUAAUAAUUAAAACCGCAAUGGUUUUAGUUUAAAAGAUGGUCUUGCUAUCACUAAGAGAUGGUCCCGCGGUGUAUUAGUUAGUUGGUGAGGUAAUGGCUCACCAAGACAAUGAUACAUAGCCGAGUUGAGAGACUGACCGGCCACAAUGGGACUGAGACACGGCCCAUACUCCUACGGGAGCAGCAGUAGGGAAUCUUCCACAAAUGGACGAAAGUCUGAUGGAGCAACGCCGCGUGUGU
RNAcentral lists this ribosomal RNA (418 nucleotides) under uncultured bacterium. RNAcentral describes it as "bacterial SSU rRNA". It matches the Rfam family "Bacterial small subunit ribosomal RNA", at positions 28 to 406 of the family's 1533-position model. The record is from RNAcentral.